Molecule: transfer RNA, 88 nt
Filed under: Chloroflexota bacterium
Lineage: Bacteria; Bacillati; Chloroflexota
Description: tRNA-Leu
Rfam family: tRNA
About the family: Transfer RNA (tRNA) molecules are approximately 80 nucleotides in length. Their secondary structure includes four short double-helical elements and three loops (D, anti-codon, and T loops).
Source: RNAcentral
GGGCGAGUGGUGGAAUGGUAGACACCCCAGCCUUAGGAGCUGGUGCCGCGUGAGCGGCGUGUCGGUUCGAAUCCGACCUCGCCCACCA